This 581-nucleotide ribosomal RNA is filed under the name Naganishia albida. RNAcentral describes it as "eukaryotic LSU rRNA". The stretch from base 145 to 298 matches the Rfam family "5.8S ribosomal RNA". Lineage: Eukaryota; Fungi; Basidiomycota; Tremellomycetes; Filobasidiales; Filobasidiaceae. The record is from RNAcentral.
UCUGUCGAGCUUGCUCACAGGCACAUCAUAUCCAUAACACCUGUGCACUUGUCGGAUGGCUUAGUGAAGACCGCAAGGUUGGAUCUAUCCAUCUACUUUACAUAACAAUUCUGUAACAAAUGUAGUCUUAUUAUAACAUAAUAAAACUUUCAACAACGGAUCUCUUGGCUCUCGCAUCGAUGAAGAACGCAGCGAAAUGCGAUAAGUAAUGUGAAUUGCAGAAUUCAGUGAAUCAUCGAAUCUUUGAACGCACCUUGCGCUCCUUGGUAUUCCGAGGAGCAUGCCUGUUUGAGUGUCAUGAAAACCCUCAACCCUAGAUUGGUUAAAACCUUUCUUUGGUUUGGAUUUGGACGUUUGCCGAUGAUAAGUCGGCUCGUCUUAAAAGUAAUAGCUGGAUCUGUCUCGCGACAUGGUUUGACUUGGCGUAAUAAGUAUUUCGCUAAGGACAUCUUCGGAUGGCCGCGUUGCAGGACUAAAGACCGCUUUCUAAUCCAUUGAUCUUACGAUUAAUAUUCUUGACAUCUGGCCUCAAAUCAGGUAGGACUACCCGCUGAACUUAAGCAUAUCAAUAAGCGGAGGAA